GAUGAACGCUGGCGGCGUGCCUAAUACAUGCAAGUCGAGCGAACAGACGAGGAGCUUGCUCCUCUGACGUUAGCGGCGGACGGGUGAGUAACACGUGGAUAACCUACCUAUAAGACUGGGAUAACUUCGGGAAACCGGAGCUAAUACCGGAUAAUCUAUUGAACCGCAUGGUUCAAUAGUGAAAGACGGUUUUGCUGUCACUUAUAGCUGGAUCCGCGCCGCAUUAGCUAGUUGGUAAGGUAACGGCUUACCAAGGCAACGAUGCGUAGCCGACCUGAGAGGGUGAUCGGCCACACUGGAACUGAGACACGGUCCAGACUCCUACGGGAGGCAGCAGUAGGGAAUCUUCCGCAAUGGGCGAAAGCCUGACGGAGCAACGCCGCGUGAGUGAUGAAGGUCUUCGGAUCGUAAAACUCUGUUAUUAGGGAAGAACAAAUGUGUAAGUAACUAUGCACGUAUUGACGGUACCUAAUCAGAAAGCCACGGCUAACUACGUG
Molecule: ribosomal RNA, 497 nt
Filed under: uncultured bacterium
Lineage: Bacteria
Description: partial 16S ribosomal RNA
Rfam family: Bacterial small subunit ribosomal RNA
Source: RNAcentral